GACGAACGCUGGCGGCGUGCUUAACACAUGCAAGUCGAACGCUGAAGCCCAGCUUGCUGGGUGGAUGAGUGGCGAACGGGUGAGUAACACGUGAGUAACCUGCCCCCUUCUUUGGGAUAACGCCCGGAAACGGGUGCUAAUACUGGAUAUUCACUGAUCUUCGCAUGGGGGUUGGUGGAAAGGUUUUUUCUGGUGGGGGCUGGGCCCGCGCUUUAUCAGCUUGUUGGUGGGGGAAAAGAACUACCUUGUAUUUACCGGGCCUUGUUUUUUU
This 271-nucleotide ribosomal RNA is filed under the name uncultured Aggregatibacter sp. RNAcentral describes it as "partial 16S ribosomal RNA". It matches the Rfam family "Bacterial small subunit ribosomal RNA", at positions 28 to 285 of the family's 1533-position model. The record is from RNAcentral. Lineage: Bacteria; Pseudomonadati; Pseudomonadota; Gammaproteobacteria; Pasteurellales; Pasteurellaceae.